Non-coding RNA from Anas platyrhynchos (mallard), 47 nucleotides. The record is from Rfam. NCBI's taxonomy places the organism in Eukaryota, Metazoa, Chordata, Aves, Anseriformes, Anatidae.
AUCUUGGUUUCCUUAGAAACCACCUCAUAUUCAUUCUCCAUUUAUGU